This 470-nucleotide ribosomal RNA is filed under the name marine sediment bacterium ISA-7138. Its description in RNAcentral is "bacterial SSU rRNA". It matches the Rfam family "Bacterial small subunit ribosomal RNA", at positions 46 to 500 of the family's 1533-position model. The record is from RNAcentral.
GCCUAAUCAUGCAAGUCGAGCGAAUGAUGAGGAGCUUGCUCCUCUGAUUUAGCGGCGGAGGGUGAAUAACACGUGGUGUAAUCUGCCUGUAAGACGGGGAUAACUCCGGGAAACCGGGGCUAAUACCGGAUAAUAAGAGAAGAAGCAUUUCUUCUUUUUGAAAGUCGGUUUCGGCUGACACUUACAGAUGAGCCCGCGGCGCAUUAGCUAGUUGGUGAGGUAACGGCUCACCAAGGCGACGAUGCGUAGCCGACCUGAGAGGGUGAUCGGCCACACUGGGACUGAGACACGGCCCAGACUCCUACGGGAGGCAGCAGUAGGGAAUCUUCGGCAAUGGGCGAAAGCCUGACCGAGCAACGCCGCGUGAGCGAUGAAGGCCUUCGGGUCGUAAAGCUCUGUUGUUAGAGAAGAACAAGUACGAGAGUAACUGCUCGUACCUUGACGGUACCUAACCAGAAAGCCACGGCUAA